Long non-coding RNA from Canis lupus familiaris (dog), 344 nucleotides. RefSeq lists it as uncharacterized. The record is from RefSeq and is a predicted model, not a curated record. The transcript is spliced from 2 exons. Lineage: Eukaryota; Metazoa; Chordata; Mammalia; Carnivora; Canidae.
CUGCGCGCUGCGUCAGGGGCGUCUGCGCGGCCGGCGCGUCGGCGGAAAGCAGCGGCGUCCCGGCGGGGGCUGUGGUCCCGGCGUCCCGGGCCGUCCUCGCCAGACCCCCCAGAUAGACACUAGGAACCAAGGCUCGUAGGCAGGUGUGCGCAGCCAAGCUCAGGACCACACCGGCUCGGGCAAGUACUGCAGAGAGAUUUAUGUUAAGGAAAAUAUCUCAGGACUCUACGAAGCUGUAUGUAGAAAGAUGUUUACUGCAGUGUAAUACUUCUACACACAAAAAUGAGAGAAAGGUCUGGAAAGAAACAAAGUGCUAUUAAAGUUAUUUUCUUUUAAAAAUGAAA